GUCUAGCGGGCAGAUGUCAUCUGACCUUGACCUCAUUUUCAUGGUUCAGUGGUCAAAGUUAAGUUUUUAAGUUUUGGUCUUUUUGUCUAAUAUUAUAUGCCAAAGGUCAACUAUAUUUGGUGUAUGGAAAUAUAUUAUGAUCUAUAUGUCAGUCCCGCAGGUUUUAUUUGACCAUGACCUCAAUUGCACGGUUCAUUGCACAGUGUUAAGUUUUUGUGUUUUGGUCUAUUUUUCUUAAACUAUAAGUAGUAGGUCAACUAUAUUUGUUGUAUGGAAGCUUUGUUAGCUGUACAUGUCUGCCUGGCAUGGUUCAUCUGACCUUGACCUCAUUUUCAUUGUUCAUUGGUCUUUGUUUAGCUAUCUUGGUUAAUGUUAAGUUUAUAUGACAGUUGUAAUAAAGCUUUAUACUUAGGACUAUCAACAUAAUAUCAAUGAUUAGUAAAGAAGGCGAG
Molecule: long non-coding RNA, 452 nt
Filed under: Mytilus galloprovincialis (Mediterranean mussel)
Lineage: Eukaryota; Metazoa; Mollusca; Bivalvia; Mytilida; Mytilidae
Source: RNAcentral